GACGAACGCUGGCGGCGUGCCUAAUACAUGCAAGUCGAACGAACCGCGACUAGGUGCUUGCACUUGGUCAAGGUGAGUGGCGAACGGGUGAGUAACACGUGGGUAACCUACCUCAUAGUGGGGGAUAACAGUCGGAAACGACUGCUAAUACCGCAUAGGACAUAGGAUCACAUGAUCCAGUGAGGAAAGGUGGCGCAAGCUAUCGCUAAGAGAUGGACCCGCGGUGCAUUAGCUAGUUGGUAGGGUAAAGGCCUACCAAGGCGAUGAUGCAUAGCCGACCUGAGAGGGUGAGCGGCCACAUUGGGACUGAGACACGGCCCAAACUCCUACGGGAGGCAGCAGUAGGGAAUCUUCCGCAAUGGACGCAAGUCUGACGGAGCAACGCCGCGUGAGUGAAGAAGGUCUUCGGAUCGUAAAGCUCUGUUGUUAGAGAAGAACAGCGCAUAGAGUAACUGUUAUGCGUGUGACGGUAUCUAACCAGAAAGCCACGGCUAACUACGUG
Molecule: ribosomal RNA, 502 nt
Filed under: uncultured bacterium
Lineage: Bacteria
Description: partial 16S ribosomal RNA
Rfam family: Bacterial small subunit ribosomal RNA
Source: RNAcentral